AACGAACGCUGGCGGCAUGCCUAACACAUGCAAGUCGAACGAAGCCUUCGGGCUUAGUGGCGCACGGGUGCGUAACACGUGGGAAUCUGCCCUUUGGUUCGGAAUAACAGUUAGAAAUGACUGCUAAUACCGGAUAAUGACGUAAGUCCAAAGAUUUAUCGCCGAAGGAUGAGCCCGCGUAGGAUUAGGUAGUUGGUGGGGUAAAUGGCCCACCAAGCCGACGAUCCUUAGCUGGUCUGAGAGGAUGAUCAGCCACACUGGGACUGAGACACGGCCCAGACUCCUACGGGAGGCAGCAGUGGGGAAUAUUGGACAAUGGGCGAAAGCCUGAUCCAGCAAUGCCGCGUGAGUGAUGAAGGCCUUAGGGUUGGUAAAAGCUCUUUUUACCAGGGAUGAUAAUGACAGUACCUGGAGAAUAAAGCUCCCGGGCUAAACUCCCGUGCCAGCAGCCGCGGUAAU
This 459-nucleotide ribosomal RNA is filed under the name uncultured bacterium. RNAcentral's name for it is "bacterial SSU rRNA". It matches the Rfam family "Bacterial small subunit ribosomal RNA", at positions 29 to 524 of the family's 1533-position model. The record is from RNAcentral.